Molecule: ribosomal RNA, 464 nt
Filed under: uncultured bacterium
Lineage: Bacteria
Description: partial 16S ribosomal RNA
Rfam family: Bacterial small subunit ribosomal RNA
Source: RNAcentral
GACGAACGCUGGCGGCGUGCUUAGCACAUGCAAGUCGAACGAUGAACCGGUUUCGGCCGGGGAUUAGUGGCGAACGGGUGAGUAACACGUGGGCAGUCUGCCCUGCACUCUGGGAUAAGCCCGGGAAACUGGGUCUAAUACCGGAUACGACACUCCGAGGCAUCUUGGGGUGUGGAAAGUUCCGGCGGUGCAGGAUGAGCCCGCGGCCUAUCAGCUUGUUGGUGGGGUAAUGGCCUACCAAGGCGACGACGGGUAGCCGGCCUGAGAGGGUGACCGGCCACACUGGGACUGAGACACGGCCCAGACUCCUACGGGAGGCAGCAGUGGGGAAUAUUGCACAAUGGGCGAAAGCCUGAUGCAGCGACGCCGCGUGAGGGAUGACGGCCUUCGGGUUGUAAACCUCUUUCAGCAGGGAAGAAGCGAAAGUGACGGUACCUGCAGAAGAAGCACCGGCUAACUACGUG